Molecule: unclassified non-coding RNA, 240 nt
Filed under: soil metagenome
Description: partial contains 5.8S ribosomal RNA, internal transcribed spacer 2, and large subunit ribosomal RNA
Source: RNAcentral
AACGCACGAGACCUGCGGACCUGCGGAAGGAUCAUUACCGAGUUUACAACUCCCAAACCCAAUGUGAACGUUACCAAACUGUUGCCUCGGCGGGAUCUCUGCCCCGGGUGCGUCGCAGCCCCGGACCAAGGCGCCCGCCGGAGGACCAACCAAAAACUCUUUCUGUAUACCCCCUCGCGGGUUUUUAUAUAUCUGAGCCUUUCUCGGCGCCCCUUCGUGGGCGUUUCGAAAAUGAAUCAA